AGCGUACACGGUGGAUGCCUAGGCAGUCAGAGGCGAUGAAGGGCGUGCUAAUCUGCGAAAAGCGUCGGUAAGGUGAUAUGAACCGUUAUAACCGGCGAUACCCGAAUGGGGAAACCCAGUGUGUUUCGACACACUAUCAUGUCAUGAAUACAUAGUGGCAUGAGGCGAACCGGGGGAACUGAAACAUCUAAGUACCCCGAGGAAAAGAAAUCAACCGAGAUUCCCCCAGUAGCGGCGAGCGAACGGGGAGGAGCCCAGAACCUGAAUCGGCUUGUGUGUUAGUGGAAGCGUCUGGAAAGUCGCGCAGCAAAGGGUGAUAGCCCCGUACACUAAAAUGCACAGGUCGUGAGUUCGAUGAGUAGGGCGGGACACGUGACAUCCUGUCUGAAUAUGGGGGGACCAUCCUCCAAGGCUAAAUACUCCUGACUGACCGAUAGUGAACCAGUACCGUGAGGGAAAGGCGAAAAGAACCCCGGCGAGGGGAGUGAAAUAGAACCUGAAACCGUGUACGUACAAGCAGUGGGAGCACCUUCGUGGUGUGACUGCGUACCUUUGUAUAAUGGGUCAGCGACUUAUAUUUUGUAGCAAGGUUAACCGUAUAGGGAGCCGUAGGAAACCGAGUCUUAACUGGGCGAAUAGUUGCAAGGUAUAGACCCGAAACCCGGUGAUCUAGCCAUGGGCAGGUUGAAGGUUGGGUAACACUAACUGGAGGACCGAACCGACUAAUGUUGAAAAAUUAGCGGAUGACUUGUGGCUGGGGUGAAAGGCCAAUCAAACCGGGAGAUAGCUGGUUCUCCCGAAAGCUAUUUAGGUAGCGCCUCGUGAACUCAUCUUCGGGGUAGAGCACUGUUUCGGCUAGGGGCCAUCCCGGCUUACCAAACCGAUGCAAACUCCGAAUACCGAAGAAUGUUAUCACGGGAGACACACGGCGGGUGCUAACGUCCGUCGUGAAGAGGAAACAACCCAGACCGCCAGCUAAGGUCCCAAAGUCAUGGUUAAGUGGGAAACGAUGUGGGAAGGCAUAGACAGCCAGGAUGUUGGCUUAGAAGCAGCCAUCAUUUAAAGAAAGCGUAAUAGCUCACUGGUCGAGUCGGCCUGCGCGGAAGAUGUAACGGGGCUAAACCAUGCACCGAAGCUGCGGCAGCGACGCUUAGGCGUUGUUGGGUAGGGGAGCGUUCUGUAAGCCGUUGAAGGUGGCCUGUGAGGGUUGCUGGAGGUAUCAGAAGUGCGAAUGCUGACAUAAGUAACGAUAAAGCGGGUGAAAAGCCCGCUCGCCGGAAGACCAAGGGUUCCUGUCCAACGUUAAUCGGGGCAGGGUGAGUCGACCCCUAAGGCGAGGCUGAAAAGCGUAGUCGAUGGGAAACAGGUUAAUAUUCCUGUACUUGGUGUUACUGCGAAGGGGGGACGGAGAAGGCUAGGCUAGCCGGGCGACGGUUGUCCCGGUUUAAGCGUGUAGGGGGUGUGACCUGGUAAAUCCGGUUGCAUACUAACCCUGAGGCGUGAUGACGAUGCACUACGGUGCAGAAGUAGUUGAUGCCCUGCUUCCAGGAAAAUCCUCUAAGCUCCAGGUAACAUUAAAUCGUACCCCAAACCGACACAGGUGGUCAGGUAGAGAAUACCAAGGCGCUUGAGAGAACUCGGGUGAAGGAACUAGGCAAAAUGGUGCCGUAACUUCGGGAGAAGGCACGCUGGCAUGUAGGUGAAGUCCCUUGCGGAUGGAGCUGAAGCCAGUCGAAGAUACCAGCUGGCUGCAACUGUUUAAUAAAAACACAGCACUGUGCAAACACGAAAGUGGACGUAUACGGUGUGACGCCUGCCCGGUGCUGGAAGGUUAAUUGAUGGGGUCAGCCGCAAGGCGAAGCUCUUGAUCGAAGCCCCAGUAAACGGCGGCCGUAACUAUAACGGUCCUAAGGUAGCGAAAUUCCUUGUCGGGUAAGUUCCGACCUGCACGAAUGGCGUAAUGAUGGCCAGGCUGUCUCCACCCGAGACUCAGUGAAAUUGAACUCGCUGUGAAGAUGCAGUGUACCCGCGGCAAGACGGAAAGACCCCGUGAACCUUUACUAUAGCUUGACACUGAACAUUGAGCCUUGAUGUGUAGGAUAGGUGGGAGGCUUUGAAGCGUGGACGCCAGUCUGCGUGGAGCCAUCCUUGAAAUACCACCCUUUAAUGUUUGAUGUUCUAACUCGGCCCCAUAAUCUGGGGUGAGGACAGUGUCUGGUGGGUAGUUUGACUGGGGCGGUCUCCUCCCAAAGAGUAACGGAGGAGCACGAAGGUUAGCUAAUCACGGUCGGACAUCGUGAGGUUAGUGCAAAGGCAUAAGCUAGCUUGACUGCGAGAGUGACGGCUCGAGCAGGUACGAAAGUAGGUCUUAGUGAUCCGGUGGUUCUGAAUGGAAGGGCCAUCGCUCAACGA
RNAcentral lists this ribosomal RNA (2412 nucleotides) under Serratia marcescens. Its description in RNAcentral is "bacterial LSU rRNA". It matches the Rfam family "Bacterial large subunit ribosomal RNA", at positions 14 to 2455 of the family's 2925-position model. Lineage: Bacteria; Pseudomonadati; Pseudomonadota; Gammaproteobacteria; Enterobacterales; Yersiniaceae. The record is from RNAcentral.